GGGUGUGUAGCUCAGUUGGUUAGAGUGCUACGUUCACAUCGUAGAAGUCCCCAGUUCAAGUCUGGGCACACCCACCA
Molecule: transfer RNA, 77 nt
Filed under: Candidatus Komeilibacteria bacterium CG_4_9_14_0_2_um_filter_36_13
Lineage: Bacteria; Candidatus Komeiliibacteriota
Also listed under: 2 other names
Description: tRNA-Val
Rfam family: tRNA
About the family: Transfer RNA (tRNA) molecules are approximately 80 nucleotides in length.
Source: RNAcentral